UUGCACCCAGAAGUCUUAAAUGAACUAGCCGAAGAGUGCUCUGAGCCACUCAAGUUAAUCUUUAACAGAUAUUUGAAAACUGGGAAGAUCCAAUGGAUUGGAGGACUGGCAGUGAAGCGCCAAUGUUUAAAAAGAAUGACCCAGGGAACUGUAAACUGGCUAGCCUGACAUCGAUCCCAGGGCCGGCUCCAGCUUUUUUGCCGCCCCCAAGCAGCGAAGAAAAAAAAGAAAAACCCGAUUGAGCUGCCACCAAAUUGCCACCAAAGAGGAAGAGAGGGAAUGAAGGACUUGCCGCCGAAGACCUGGACGUGCCGCCCCAAUAAUGCACCGAGUGCCACCCCUUUCUAUUGGCCGCCCCAGGCACCUGCUUCCUUCUCUGGUGCCUGGAGCCGGCCCUCUCUCCAUGGGAUGGAACCAACAUGGCCUACAAAAGGAAAACAAUAAAUCUGCUGUUGAUGCUGAAA
Long non-coding RNA from Caretta caretta (loggerhead turtle), 464 nucleotides. RefSeq lists it as uncharacterized. The record is from RefSeq and is a predicted model, not a curated record. Lineage: Eukaryota; Metazoa; Chordata; Testudines; Cheloniidae.